AUGGCUAAGAUCUGGGAGAGGAAGACGAGGGAUAUUGGCCAAGUCAAAUGCAUCAAGGACGGAGCAGGCCAACUCUUGGUGAAGGACGAAGAGAUUAAGCAUAGAUGGCGGGAGUACUUCGACAAGCUGUUCAAUGGGGAGAAUGAGAGUUCUACCAUUGAACUGAAUGACUCCUUUGAUGAGACCAGCAUGCGUUUUGUGCGGCGCAUCCAGGAGUCUGAGGUGAAGGAGGCUUUAAAAAGGAUGAAAGGAGGCAAGGCGAUGGGCCCUGAUUGUAUCCCCAUUGAGGUGUGGAAAGGUCUCGGGGACAUAGCGAUAGUAUGGCUAACCAAGCUUUUCAACCUCAUUUUUCGGGCAAACAAGAUGCCAGAAGAAUGGAGACGGACUAUAUUAGUACCAAUCUUCAAGAACAAGGGGGAUGUUCAGAGUUGUACUAAUUACCGUGGAAUUAAGCUGAUGAGCCAUACAAUGAAGCUAUGGGAGAGAGUCAUUGAGCACCGCUUAAGAAGAAUGACAAGCGUGACCAAAAAUCAGUUUGGUUUCAUGCCUGGGAGGUCGACCAUGGAAGCCAUUUUCUUGGUACGACAACUUAUGGAGAGAUAUAGGGAGCAUAAGAAGGACUUUCAUAUGGUGUUCAUUGACUUGGAGAAGGCCUAUGAUAAGAUACCGCGGAAUGUCAUGUGGUGGGCCUUGGAGAAACACAAAGUCCCAGCAAAGUACAUUACCCUCAUCAAGGACAUGUACAAUAAUGUUGUGACAAGUGUUCGAACAAGUGAUGUCGACACCGAUGACUUCCCGAUUAAGAUAGGAAUGCAUCAGGGGUCAGCUUUGAGCCCUUAUCUUUUUGCAUUGGUGAUGGAUGAGGUCACAAGGGGUAUACAAGGAGAUAUCCCAUGGUGUAUGCUCUUUGCGGAUGAUGUGGUGCUAGUUGACGAUAGUCGGACGGGGGUAAAUAGGAAGUUAGAGUUAUGGAGACAAACCUUGGAAUCGAAAGGGUUUAGGCUUAGUAGAACUAAAACCGAGUACAUGAUGUGCGGUUUCAGUACUACUAGCUGUGAGGAGGAGGAGGUUAGGCUUGAUGGCCAGGUGGUACCUCGGAAGGACACCUUUCGGUAUUUGGGGUCAAUGUUGCAGGAGGAUGGGGGUAUUGAUGAAGAUGUGAACCAUCAAAUUAAAGCCGGAUGGAUGAAGUGGCGCCAAGCUUCUGGCAUUCUCUGUGACAAGAGAGUGCCACAAAAGCUAAAAGGCAAGUUCUACAGGACGGCGGUUCGACCCGCAAUGUUGUAUGGCGCGGAGUGUUGGCUGACUAAAGGCGACAUGUUCAACAGUUAG
RNAcentral lists this ribosomal RNA (1332 nucleotides) under Triticum aestivum (bread wheat). RNAcentral describes it as "partial small subunit ribosomal RNA". Lineage: Eukaryota; Viridiplantae; Streptophyta; Magnoliopsida; Poales; Poaceae. The record is from RNAcentral.